AUGAACGCUGGCGGCGUGCCUAAUACAUGCAAGUCGAGCGAACGGACGAGAAGCUUGCUUCUCUGAUGUUAGCGGCGGACGGGUGAGUAACACGUGGAUAACCUACCUAUAAGACUGGGAUAACUUCGGGAAACCGGAGCUAAUACCGGAUAAUAUUUUGAACCGCAUGGUUCAAAAGUGAAAGACGGUCUUGCUGUCACUUAUAGAUGGAUCCGCGCUGCAUUAGCUAGUUGGUAAGGUAACGGCUUACCAAGGCAACGAUGCAUAGCCGACCUGAGAGGGUGAUCGGCCACACUGGAACUGAGAAACGGCCCAGACUCCUACGGGAGGAAGCAGUAGGGAAUCUUCCGCAAUGGGCGAAAGCCUGACGGAGCAACGCCGCGUGAGUGAUGAAGGUCUUCGGAUCGUAAAACUCUGUUAUUAGGGAAGAACAUAUGUGUAAGUAACUGUGCACAUCUUGACGGUACCUAAUCAGAAAGCCACGGCUAACUACGUG
This 496-nucleotide ribosomal RNA is filed under the name uncultured bacterium. RNAcentral's name for it is "partial 16S ribosomal RNA". It matches the Rfam family "Bacterial small subunit ribosomal RNA", at positions 29 to 507 of the family's 1533-position model. The record is from RNAcentral.